RNAcentral lists this ribosomal RNA (497 nucleotides) under uncultured bacterium. RNAcentral describes it as "partial 16S ribosomal RNA". It matches the Rfam family "Bacterial small subunit ribosomal RNA", at positions 28 to 507 of the family's 1533-position model. The record is from RNAcentral.
GAUGAACGCUGGCGGCGUGCCUAAUACAUGCAAGUCGAGCGAACGGACGAGAAGCUUGCUUCUCUGAUGUUAGCGGCGGACGGGUGAGUAACACGUGGAUAACCUACCUAUAAGACUGGGAUAACUUCGGGAAACCGGAGCUAAUACCGGAUAAUAUUUUGAACCGCAUGGUUCAAUAGUGAAAGACGGUCUUGCUGUCACUUAUAGAUGGAUCCGCGCUGCAUUAGCUAGUUGGUAAGGUAACGGCUUACCAAGGCAACGAUGCGUAGCCGACCUGAGAGGGUGAUCGGCCACACGGGAACUGAGACACGGUCCAGACGCCUAAGGGAGGCAGCAGUAGGGAAUCUUACGCAAAGGGCGAAAGCCUGACGGAGCAACGCCGCGUGAGUGAUGAAGGUCUUCGGAUCGUAAAACUCUGUUAUUAGGGAAGAACAAAUGUGUAAGUAACUGUGCACAUCUUGACGGUACCUAAUCAGAAAGCCACGGCUAACUACGUG